This 2623-nucleotide long non-coding RNA is filed under the name Malus domestica (apple). Its description in RNAcentral is "long non-coding RNA (MDOM_LNC010262)". Lineage: Eukaryota; Viridiplantae; Streptophyta; Magnoliopsida; Rosales; Rosaceae. The record is from RNAcentral.
GCAAUAGUUUUGUGUUAAGGUUUGAGAGAAAUAAAGAGAGAGGAAGAGAGCAUUCAUGGCUCUGGGCUCAAGAUGGCUAAGAGUUUAUCUCAGAAAUGAAUGAUGAUGGAAAUGGUUGUGUCUUCAGUUAUAUAGUGGAGUUUUAGGGUUUCAGUCCCACAUGUGUAUCGCACGUGUGCUAGGCGUGGGCUGGUUUUCACAUCAGUGCAUGGAUCUUUUCAAGGCCCAGUUUCUUUUGGUUUCCAAGGCUGCCAAUCGUGCUCCAUCUUUCUUUGCAUCGGGACCCAUGUCCAAUGCCAAGUCCAAAUUUUUAAAUCCAGGUGCAUUCUUUUCUUGUCUUUCUUUCUCUAUUUAUUUAUUCUUUUCUUUUCUUUUCUUUAUUUCAUUUAGAAAGGUUUCAUUUAGUUAGGAUUCUUUAUUGACUUUACUAUUUUUUAUGUUUAGUUCGAUUUCUUUAGUGUCUUUGAUUUCAUUUCUUUUUCCACACCUUGAGGACAAUGUGUGAUUUAAGUUUGGGGGUGGGAAAUAAAAAAAUUUAGAUUUUUAAUUUUUGAGUCAAAUAAAUCAUUUCAAAUUUUAAGUUAAUAUCCAUAGAUUAUUUUAAAUGUUAGAACAAAUAGACAUGGUGAAGAUUAAUCCCACAAUAGAAUCUUUUCUAUUUAUCGUUGCUUAGACACUAAUUCAUGAGUUACACUUUGAAAAUUUGCACAUUCACAUCAACAUGGUUUGUGGGGAGUGAGAUUGAAAUACUUAUUUUUAGUCUAAGUUUAUUUUUAAUUUUUGUUUUAAGUAAAGUUAGUUCUUGUUAUAAAUAAAGUAAUAAUUGUUCCACAUGAGGCUUUGCCUAGUAACCGGGUCAAUCCUACUUGAUCAGCAAUGAUUCUCGCAUCAAACGGUAGAGUUUUGGCAUGGGGUAGGGUGGUUAGUUGGUUUCGGAGCCUUUUCACCUCAAGUAACUAAGUCCUUAGGGGUGUUCUACACCUAGUGCCCUAAAGCUUUUGUGGUUUGGGAGUUAUUGACCUAAAGCUCGCUACAUGAGUUGGAUCGAAAGCUUAAGUGAACUGACAUUGCACGACCACUACUAUUACUUAAAAAUAAAAAAAAACAAAAUAAAUAAAAAUAAAUAAAAACUAUAUUUAAAGUUAGUGCAUGUGGAAUAAAAGGGACAAGAAGUCAGGAUUUUAGUCGAGUGUCUUUAACUAUAUUGGUUCACUUUACACCAAAGGAAAUUCAUGAAUUCUUUUCUAAUUGAUUCUAAAUGACUUAGACUAUGUGGUGGGAUUAGUUGAAAUUUUUUGAAAUAUGUUUUGAUUUUUAACGUUUUCUAUGGAUUGCGACUUGAAGAUGAAAAUUUUGUCUUAGUUGAGUUUUAAUAAAGUUUUUUGUUAGUUUGCUAGUUUUUAUCUUUGUUUUUUAGUUUUGUUUUGCUUGAGGACAAGCAAAAAGCUAAGUUUGGGGGUAUUUCGCGACAAAAUUUCCCUCGUCGCACAAACUAUUUAAUUUAGUAGUGGUAGUAGGCUCCUUAGUUACUCGGCAUGUGCGCCACGUAGGCUUUGUAAUUUUUAGGGUCAAUAAGAUACAAAUUUCCAUCAAAGAUAAUCUACUAAAAAAAAUUUCAAAAUAAUUAACACCAUUAGGCUAAUUGACCGAAACACCUGAGGAGGGUGUUUGUCAAAGGACCUCGAGUGCCUAAGUCAGAAAAGCGUUUGUGGGAAACUGAUUAUCUAUGAAUUCUGAGUAGUAAAAUGGCAAUUAUUGAUUUCUCUUGUUGACUUGUACUGCCGUAGCAAAGGGAAACACCCACGAACUCUGAAAAGCGAUCCCCAACCUGCUUGAGCCCAAUGUGCAGAUAGGUGAGAAAGAGACUUCACGGGCUUGUUGGUGAUGUGCAGUGACGCUUGACCCAUCGAGGUGGAGAAGGUAGUCUGCUCACCAUGUCAAGGAUAGAACUGUCAUCUUGAGUUUGAAGUCCACAUGGCGUAUAUCAACUAGAGGUGGAGAUCGAAGGUAGUCUGCUCACAACGUCAAAUGUAAAACUUCGUCCAAGGCCCAUAGACAAAUUAGUGUAAGAAUUUCGGUUAAGCGGAAGAUAGGUCCCACGUGGCGUAUUCCCAAUUGAUGCCAUUCAUGGUAUGGCAUUCAUCGAUGCCUUACUAAGUUACUAUUUGGAUUCCCUAUUGUGUCUAAGCUUACUAAGAAAUGUACCUAUCUCUUUACUUCUUUGAAACUAACAUAUUUCAUUAAGUGUAUAAAGCACUGAUAUAUAAAAAAUUUAAUAAAAAAAAUCCAGUCAAAAUGACAGCAAGUACAAAAUAGCAUAAGGUUCCAUGAAGAACGUGUAACAAAAGUGUGGGGCCUAAAUAGGAAGUGCACACGCAUUUGACGACUUGCUUAUUUUGGUAGAAAAAUCAAUGGCCUGAAAAGCUUACGAUGAAGAGAACUUUAAUGAAAAGCAUCUGAUAUUGUUCAUUUUAACGAAAAAUUACAUUUUUACACUAAAAAGUCAAUCUUGGUACUAUUCACUUUACCCUUUAUUUUGUCAUUUUCAUUAAAACUCAAAGUUUUCCAGUCAUUUUCAUUAAUUUUCCCUAUGAUAAAUUGGGUUUUUUUUUUCUUAAAUUGU